Long non-coding RNA from Ictidomys tridecemlineatus (thirteen-lined ground squirrel), 1292 nucleotides. NCBI's taxonomy places the organism in Eukaryota, Metazoa, Chordata, Mammalia, Rodentia, Sciuridae. The record is from Ensembl.
UUUCCCUCAGAGCGCGCAGGCAGCCGGUUUAGAGAACUCCGGUGCGCCAGGUUUUUGGAGCCGCCGGGGAGCGCAGGGAGGGAGAGGAGCGCGACACCAGACAGCACGGGGUUCAGCACCGGGAUUGGUCGCAAGUAGGGAGCUUUCGCCACUACACCGGGACCCUCGGACAGUGCCUGCACCGCGCUCUGGAGAGGCUUUCCUCCGCUCUCGGCGCGGAGCUCAGGUGCUGAGCACAGAGGAGAUCUGCGCGGAGGCAGGCGGCUUGGAGCAACCAGGAAGAGAAGGUGUUAGAUUGCUGGCACCGCUGUCUCCAGAUUUGAAGCAAAAAGGCUUGAGGUUGUGUAGGGCGACCGAAUGUGACCCAUCACCUUGGAUGUGUGUUCUGCGUGCAAGAGGUUGGCUGGGAUCUUGGGGUACAUGGGUGGUGGAUUUGUAAGGAGGAGUCCCCGUGAGCAAAGCUCCUGCAACUUUUUGUAGUUUUCCUACUGGAAUCAACAUAGGGGCGGGGACAUGUUUUUCAGGGAAAAAAAAUGUCAUUUAAUUGCAUGGGAAGCUCCUGCAGUCUGCUGUGUUGGGAGCUGGGAAUCUCAAGGAAUAACAGCCACAUGACUCAUUUGUCUGGACACUACUUAGGAUAAUUUGGAAUGUGCUUUUAUUUUUGCAGAUUUGAGAUUUAUGGUUUCUGUUCUUCAGGGAGUAUAAGGUGGGCGAAAAAGAAGUGUGUCAUGGAGCAGGCAGCUAGAGGUGGUUUGGGUGCCAUUCUGGAGAAGAUUCACCUUUCACCCCAUACAUUUAUUCUUGCUGUCUUCUCGUUGAUUUCAUUCAAGACUGUGGAAAUCUCCGCUAUGGGGUUGUGGGAGUUAGAUAAGAUUGGCAGGGAUCAAAAAAAAAAAAAAAAAAAACAAGUUCUGUGAGAAUAUUACUUUUUUGUCUAUCUUGUAAAAAAGGCUAUUGAUUUUGUUCGUUGUUUGUUUAAACUGACUUCACCUGCCCUGUCUGGUUGAGGAAAGAUCAUGAUGAUAAAUCUCAUUAUUUUUUUUUUUUCACUGUGGAUCCUGCCAGUUGGCUAGCAAGCAUGGAAAAUAAAUAAUAAAUAAAAACUGACCUCUUGAAUUGGGGGUUAAAAUGCUAAGAGACUUUACCAGUUGCUUAAAGCUUUAGGUGAGAGCCAUGUGGACGUUUUAACUGAGGUAAUUUUUUUUUUUUUUUAAAUUGCAGUCUGUGAAACCCCUUUCAGUUGGUGCCUGGUGUGUGUAUUUUACACACCUUGGAAGACCUCCGGUGCAAUU